UACGGGGGGAGCAAGCGUUGUCAGGAAUCACGGGGCGUAAAGGGCGUGUAGGCGGUCUGGUAAGUCAGAUGUGAAAUCCCACGGCUUAACCGUGGCAUUGCAUUUGAAACUGCCAGACUUGAGUGCGAGAGAGGGUAGUGGAAUUCCCGGUGUAGCGGUGAAAUGCGUAGAUAUCGGGAGGAAGGUCGGUGGCGAAGGCGGCCUCCUGGGCCUGCACUGACGCUGAGGCGCGAAAGCGUGGGGAGCAAACAGG
RNAcentral lists this ribosomal RNA (253 nucleotides) under uncultured microorganism. RNAcentral describes it as "partial 16S ribosomal RNA". It matches the Rfam family "Bacterial small subunit ribosomal RNA", at positions 524 to 776 of the family's 1533-position model. The record is from RNAcentral.